GCAACACUGAAACCAUGGCAGAGAUUCUCGUUGAAGGGAAGCCAGGAGCCUCUAUAGAGCUCCACAAGCAAAGGGACGAUGGUGGCUGCAGGGCGGGUGGGGAAGAGCACAGGCACCGAAAGCUCUCAGAGGUCACCCAAGCGAAGAAGCGGCACUGACCGCAGCCCCCCACAUGCUGGUGACCGCUGACAGCGACGGCUUCAGAGAUGGACAGUGUAUGAAUAACAGGGAAAUAAAUAAUGAUGACCAUU
This 251-nucleotide long non-coding RNA is filed under the name Chinchilla lanigera (long-tailed chinchilla). RNAcentral's name for it is "lncRNA (ENSCLAG00000026350.1)". The record is from RNAcentral. Lineage: Eukaryota; Metazoa; Chordata; Mammalia; Rodentia; Chinchillidae.